RNAcentral lists this ribosomal RNA (176 nucleotides) under Pacispora scintillans. The record is from RNAcentral. Lineage: Eukaryota; Fungi; Glomeromycota; Glomeromycetes; Diversisporales; Pacisporaceae.
UAGCAGUCUCGGCUGUGUUAUAGCUUUUUACUGGAUUCACUUUUGGGGACUGAGGAACGCAGUACGCUUUUAGCAAGGUUCUAGAGCCUUUCGUACUUUAGGAUGCUGGUGGAAUGGCUUUAAACGACCCGUCUUGAAACACGGACCAAGGAGUCUAACAUUAUAUGCGAGUGUUU